AUUUCAACUCACUUUGUUUUGAGUUGAUUAUUGGUUCACCAAUCUACUAGGCUUUGAAUUUCAUGGGUAAAUGUUUUGUUUUUGAGUGCAUGUAAGCAUGAUUCCGCCUUUAAUUGUUAAUUGCAUGCUAUAUGAUGUUGCUCAAAUGAACAUGUUUUUCAAAAUAAUUCCUUCACAUAUGAACUACAUCUACAACAUUUGAGAUGGCAAAUUUUCUAACAAAAUUUACAUUCAAAGAAACAAGAAUAAAGCUUGUAACAUAUUACAACUUUUAAAUCAAAACUAUGAAAUACAAAACCCAAAAGGAUUCACCAACUACUAGACCUAGGCUCUGAUACCACUUGAAGGAAGAUUUUGUGAAAACAUGUUCAUUUGAAUAACAUCUAUAGCAUGCAAUUAACAAUUAAAAGGCGGAAUCAUGCUUGCAUGCACUCAAAAACAAAACAU
RNAcentral lists this long non-coding RNA (447 nucleotides) under Malus domestica (apple). RNAcentral describes it as "long non-coding RNA (MDOM_LNC005927)". The record is from RNAcentral. Lineage: Eukaryota; Viridiplantae; Streptophyta; Magnoliopsida; Rosales; Rosaceae.